RNAcentral lists this long non-coding RNA (3420 nucleotides) under Homo sapiens (human). RNAcentral describes it as "non-protein coding lnc-NKAP-4:5". Lineage: Eukaryota; Metazoa; Chordata; Mammalia; Primates; Hominidae. The record is from RNAcentral.
ACACAGCCACCGGAGGCGUCCUGAGCAGCAGCCCACUCCCUGUCCCCUGCAGGCGUCCGACCCGAAGUCCACGCGCCGGAACUCGGACCAGGAGCCAGAGGACCCCAGCGCAGAAUCCGCGGAGACGCACGGCUUCGUCGACCACGCUCCCAGGUGGCGUUCCAGCCCAGAUCCGGCCACGAAGACACCGGCGACCUCGGCCUGGGUUUCCUGUUCGAUGAGCUCCAGAAAGAAGACGAUGCGAAGGAUAUAGAGACUUCAGUGACUGAAGCUGGAGGAGACGAUGAGAAGAAAAUACGGACCAAACCCGAGCAGGGAGCAGGAGCAGGAAAAGAAAGUCACGUGUACGCGGGAGCUGCGGACCCCAUGAUCCACGAGAACCAGAAGGGCGGUGGUGGCCACCAGGAGCCCUGGCAGCAGCAGCCUGAGGAGUUGGCCCAGGACUCCUCCGCUGAGGAUCCGCAACCCCAAGAUCAGGAGCGUCUAUUCAGCCCCAGCACGUUCGGCGGGUUGCACCUGAAGGAGCUAGACAGCAUUUUCUGACCUUCUCAAUAUCCGGACAUGUUCGCUUGAAAGCAACUGGCAAUAUGCAUGGAUGUGAGUGAAGCUGAAGUGGAAGCCAGUAAGCCUGAUGAAAGCAAUUGGUCAGAGUAGCCACUCUGAAACCUGCCUCAGACCUUGGAUACUUUGUCCUACACAUUCUCCAAUUGGCCUGGUAACUUCACCGGAUGAAGAAAUCUAGGUUGUUGGUGUUUUUCUUUGAACACCUCUUCUUGCUCUUCGAUAGUUAAAUCUAUUUCACUACUGACAUAGGUACCACCAGAUAUCUGUAGUAUAAACUCAUUAUUUCACAAAAAAAUAAGAAUUUGAGUCUGUGAAGACUGUGCUUUCAAACAUCACUGCACUCCAGUGUAGGCAACACAGCGAGGUGCUGUCUCAAAAAAAGAAAGAAAAAGAAGGAAAGGAAGGAAGAAAGGGAAGAAAGGAAAGAAAGAAAGAAAGGACAGAAAAGAAGGAAGAAGGAAAGAAAAAGGAAGGAAAAUAAAAAGAAGAGAAAGAAGGAAGGAAAAAAGAAGAAAAAGAAAGAAAAGAAAGAAGGUAUUUAUGAGAAUAUUUUCUCACCUCCUUAUCUUUGACGUAGGACAGGCAAGCUGCCAAAUUGGGAUUUUGCCCGGAUGGAGGAUGAGCAGGUAGUGAGAUAGAGCAACUUUUAUUGAACUGGUAUUGCUUCUUGCAGAACAGCACUAACCCAUAGGCAGUGCACCCAGAGCCAGCAGCUGAUGGGCUGUUGGCAGCUGUAUUUAUACCACUUUUAAUUAUGUGCUAAUCAACAGGCAGGUUAUUGAGAACUUUCAAGAAAACGAGUGAGGAGUAUCCAGAAAAUUCAAGAUACGACUAUAGUGUUGAGAAGAAUAUUGUUUCAACUUCCUGGAUUGAUCAACUUUUCUUCAGCAGAGAAUUUAGUGUUGAAAAGAACGUGACUGGCAACUUCCUGCCUUCAACUAGCUAUUCUGGCUAUUUCUGGUUAUUUCUAGGUGGGUCAACUCUUCAAGGAGAACUGUAAACCACUGCUCAACAAAAUAAAAGAGGACACAAACAAAUGGAAGAACAUUCCAUGCUCAUGGAUAGGAAGAAUCAAUAUUGUGAAAAUGGCCAUACUGCCCAAGGUAAUUUAUAGAUUCAAUGCCAUCCCCAUCAAGCUACCAAUGACUUUCUUCACAGAAUUGGAAAAAACUACUUUAAAGUUCAUAUGGAACCAAAAAAGAGCCCGCAUUGCCAAGACAAUCCUAAGCCAAAAGAACAAAGCUGGAGGCAUCACGUUACCUGACUUCAAGCUAUACCACAAGGCUACAGUAACCAAAACAGCAUGGUACUGGUACCAAAACAGAGAUAUAGACCAAUGGAACAGAACAGAGCCAUCAGAAAUAAUACCACACAUCUACAACCAUCUGAUCUUUGACAAACCUGACAAAAAAAGAAACGGGGAAAGGAUUCCCUAUUUAAUAAAUGGUGCUGGGAAAACUGGCUAGCCAUAUGUAGAAAGCUGAAACUGGAUCCCUUCCUUACACCUUAUAGAAAAAUUCAUUCAAGAUGGAUUAAAGACUUAAAUGUUAGACCUAAAACCAUAAAAACCCUAGAAGAAAACCUAGGCAAUACCAUUCAGGACAUAGGCAUGGGCAAGGACUUCAUGACUAAAACACCAAAAGCAAUGGCAACCAAAGCCAAAAUUGACAAAUAAGAUCUAAUUAAACUAAAGAGCUUCUGCACAGCAAAAGAAACUACCAUCAGAGUGAACAGGCAACCUACAGAAUGGGAGAAAAUUUUUACAAUCUACCCAUCUGACAAAGGGCUGAUAUCCAGAAUCUACAAAGAACUUAAACAAAUUUACAAGAAAAAAUCAAACAACCCCAUCAAAAAGUGGGAGAAGGAUAUGAACAGACACUUCUCAAAAGAAGACAUUUAUGCACUCAACAGACACAUGAAAAAAUGCUCAUCAUCACUGGCCAUCAGAGAAAUGCAAAUCAAAACCACAAUGAGAUACCAUCUCACACCAGUUAGAAUGGUGAUCAUUAAAAAGUCAGGAAACAGCAGAUGCUGGAGAGGAUGUGGAGAAAUAGGAACACUUUUACACUGUUGGUGGGACUGUAAACUAGUUCAACCAUUGUGGAAGUCAGUAUGGCGAUUCCUCAGGGAUCUAGAACUAGAAAUACCAUUUGACCCAGCCAUCCCAUUACUGGGUAUAUACCCAAAGGGUUAUAAAUCAUGCUGCUAUAAAGACACAUGCACACGUAUGUUUAUUGCGUCACUAUUCACAAUAGCAAAGACUUGGAACCAACCCAAAUGUCCAUCAAUGAUAGACUGGAUUUAGAAAAUGUGGCACAUAUACACCAUGGAAUACUAUGCAGCCAUAAAAAAGGAUGAGUUCAUGUCCUUUGUAGGGACAUGGAUGAAGCUAGAAACCAUUAUUCUGAGCAAACUAUCACAAGGACAGAAAACCAAACACCACAUGUUCUCACUCAUAGGUGGGAAUUGAACAAUGAGAACACUUGGACACAGGGUGGGGAACAUCACACACCGGGACCUGUCGUGGGGUUGGGGGAGGGGAGAGGGAUAGCAUUAGGAGAUAUACCUAAGGUAAAUGACGAGUUAAUGGGUGCAGCACACCAACAUGGCACAUGUACACAUAUGUAACAAACCUGCACAUUGUGCACAUGUACCCUAGAACUUAAAGUAUAAUUAAAAAAUAAAAUAAAUUAAAUUAAAAAAUAAAUUUCGGUUUAGUAAAUCAUUUGUCUCUUUAGAAUCAGAUUAUGAGCUGGGAAGUGGCUCACACUGCCACUAGCACUUUGGGAGGCCUAGCAGGAGGCCCUAGCACUUUGGGAGGCCCUAGCACUUUGGGAGGCCAAGGCAGGAGGAUAA